CCUACGGGAGGCAGCAGUGAGGAAUAUUGGUCAAUGGGCGCGAGCCUGAACCAGCCAAGUAGCGUGAAGGAUGACUGCCCUACGGGUUUUAAACUUCGUUUAUAAAGGAAUAAAGUGGGGCACGUGUGCCUUUUUGUCUGUACUUUACGAAUUAGGAUCGGCUAACUCCGUGCCAGCAGCCGAGGUAAUACGGAGGAUCCGAGCGUUAUCCGGAUUUAUUGGGUUUAAAGGGAGCGUAGAUGGGGUGUUAAGUCAGUUGUGAAAGUUUGCGGCUCAACCGUAAAAUUGCAAUUGAUACUGGCAGCCGUGAGUACAGUUGAGGUAGGCGGAAUUCGUGGUGUAGCGGUGAAAUGCUUAGAUAUCACGAAGAACUCCGAUUGCGAAGGCAGCUUACUAAACUGCCACUGACAUUGAUGCUCGAAAGUGUGGGUAUCAAACAGGAUUAGAUACCCUGGUAGUC
This 460-nucleotide ribosomal RNA is filed under the name uncultured bacterium. Its description in RNAcentral is "partial 16S ribosomal RNA". It matches the Rfam family "Bacterial small subunit ribosomal RNA", at positions 338 to 795 of the family's 1533-position model. The record is from RNAcentral.